Molecule: long non-coding RNA, 1537 nt
Filed under: Homo sapiens (human)
Lineage: Eukaryota; Metazoa; Chordata; Mammalia; Primates; Hominidae
Description: HSALNT0204510
Source: RNAcentral
CAAAAACUGUUUAAUAGGUGAAAUUUAAAAGCAACAUUAAUGCAUGCUUAAAACAGCACAUUGUACUUCAUAAGUAUGUACAAUUAUAAUUUUUCAGCAAAAUACUAUAACUGAUAAAUUAUAAUAAAUUAGCAAAAUUUAAAUUUAAAAAAUUCAAGUAUUUAUUUGCCUCAUAAACUAGCCUCAACUAAAUUAGAAUAAAACUUGAUGUUUAUGAUUCUAUAAAGGAACCACAUGCUUUGAUAGAUUUAAUAUUGUUUUGCUGCAUAUAUGGAUAUUUAUUUGCUAUAAAAUGUAUAGGAUAAAAUUGUCAUCAUGACCUUAACAGCCUCAAAUCUAUACAUAUAAUUUAAACAUUUGUUAUAAUGAUGAAUAAUUAUAUUAUUAAAUAGAUUUAUUUUUGAAAUAUAACGAUUACUGAAUUAAGUUAAAAUAAUGCUUAUAUUUUGAUAUAAUAAUCAUAAAGAAAGUAGAAGCUAUUUUAUUUUGUUAAAGUGAAGAUAUUUACUCCUUCUAGUUCAGCUUCAUCAAUUCCAGCAUCAUACUCAGAUAGUUUUAACAUUCUGGAUAAAUCAGGUAGAGAGAAGGAAACAUGCUCCACAUUUUGCUUAUGGGAGUAUUUUACUCCAUUUUUAAAACCGAAAAGCAGACAUAUGGAGCCACGGAACAGAAUAGGGAACCCAGAAAUAGAUCCACACAUUUACAGCCUGCUGAUUUUCAACAAAGUUGAGAAGAACACAAAACGGGGAAAAGGUAGUCCCUUCAUCUGUCUUCAGAGUUUUAGAUGAUCUCCAGUCUGUUUUCCUGUAUCCUAUUUGACUUCACUUGCAACUAGUUUCCAUUGGAUUUCAUCCCAUGCAACUUUUCCAUUUUCUGUUUUGCUUUGUAUCCUUUCCACAGCUAGUCUGCAGACAUCUCUUUUAACUGUAUCAGUAAUGUACAAUAUUUUCAUUCCUAUAUUGUUUAGUGUAAAUCGAUGUUUCCAUGAUGAAAGGAAUUCUGAACCUUAGUCCUUUUGGUUGUGGAACAAGAACCCAGUAUUCACCAAACUGUGGGAGCAAAAGAGCUGUAACACUUCUGCUCACUGAGCUGUGGGUGGUGGGAGUAAAAGAGCUCUAACCUUUCCUCCCACUUGACAAACAACAGGAGUGAAGAAGUCAAUGGGUGUCAGGCCCUUCUACUUGCUGAGCUAUAGGAGUGAAGAAGUGAAGCAGCUGGGCACCACUCUCUCCUGCUUGCUGAACUAUGGGAGUGAAAAAGCUGCAACAACACCAUGUAGGUACGAGAAGAAAAUGUUGGAAAAACACUCCAGGAAGUUGGUCUGGGCAAAGAUUUUUUGGGUAAGACUUUAAAAGCACAGGUAACAAAAGCAAAAAUAGGCAAAUAUGUUGACCUUUUCUCCAGGAUCCCAUUAUUUUUUUAAGGUAAUUUGCCUUUGGUUUCUUUUAACCUAAUUGGGAAUACAACUUCACUCAGGUUUCAGCUCAGAUGCUACUUGUUAAGGAAUAACUUACCAAGUUACAAAGCAAUAAUAUUU